RNAcentral lists this unclassified non-coding RNA (354 nucleotides) under Hevea brasiliensis (rubber tree). Lineage: Eukaryota; Viridiplantae; Streptophyta; Magnoliopsida; Malpighiales; Euphorbiaceae. The record is from RNAcentral.
UUGAGACAAAGGAGAUGGUUAGAGCUAAUAAAAGACUACGACUAUUUGAUAAACUCUCAGCUAGGGAAAGCUAAUGUGGUAGUUGAUACCCUAAGUCACAAGACUAUAGCUAGUCUAAGAGUUUCUCUUUUGUCCAUAGUGCAUGAACUAAAAGCACUGCAUGCUAGUUUGGAGAUAGAUGAUGAGGGCCAGAUGAGAGCUACAUGGCAAGUGAAACCAGUGCUGAUUGAUCAGAUAAAAACCGCUGCACAAAAUGAUGAGAAGUAUCAAAAAUUGAUCGAGGUAACUCAGGAUGGCAAGAAACCUGAAUUUUCUGCAAAUGAUGAUGGCCUACUGCUACACCAGGGCAGAAUG